UCUCCGUAGGUGAACCUGCGGAGGGAUCAUUACUGAGUGAGGGCUCACGCCCGACCUCCAACCCUUUUGUGAACCACCUCGUUGCUUCGGGGGCGACCCUGCCGCUUCGGCGGUGCGGCGCUCCCGGUGGCCAAUUAUUAAACUCUGCAUCUCUUGCGUCGGAGUCUUAAAGAAAUUUAAACAAAACUUUCAACAACGGAUCUCUUGGUUCCAGCAUCGAUGAAGAACGCAGC
This 233-nucleotide unclassified non-coding RNA is filed under the name uncultured fungus. RNAcentral's name for it is "sequence contains ITS1, 5.8S rRNA gene". The stretch from base 185 to 233 matches the Rfam family "5.8S ribosomal RNA", at positions 1 to 49 of the family's 154-position model. Lineage: Eukaryota; Fungi. The record is from RNAcentral.